AUAUUUGCCGAAAUAUAUUUAAUAAUGUUUUUAUAAUACGAAUAUUGAAUUUAAAUAGUUUAAAAAACGCUCCUGCCGCUUUCACUGCUAAUCGUCCAGAAACGCCGAUGUGCCUUGUGCAGACGUGACUGAACCUGGAAUUAUAGGAGUUAAUAUAAUGCUUCUAUUCUUGUGAAACAUAUACCUUUUUCCAACCGAGAUUUCCUGCACCAAGCCAACGACCAAGGCAAUCAUCGCUAAGUAGAGAGGGCUGAUUCCAACAUCGUACGACAACAACAAUAGCAUCUUACGGUAGAGGGUACCGCAGCAAGUUACGGCGAUAACGGCGAGAGGUCCAUCAUAUACAGAAGAUAAAGAAAGCCUGAAAAUUAAAACUAUAUCUCGAUCAAAUUUAGUGCAAUUUGAGCAUUUUCAUGUAUGCGAGUGAAGGCAGUGACGAAUUUAACGUAAUCUUGGGAAGGAAGAAAAGAAAUAAGCAAGCAAACAGUCCCAAAUGUAUGAAAAUAAUGUCUCAAGCGCUGAAGUUGUUCGAGGUUAUUAAAUUAUGUGGUGCCUGAUAUUUUUAUAUCAGCGAUACCGAAAAUACCACCAACAUCAUCUCAACAACUAAAGGCCUUCGGCGAAUAUGAAUGGUUUUAAAAGGAUAACUAAACUUUUUUAAUCGGACGGGGAUUUUCCAAUUUCUCGCAAACCUUCGCAAAGAAAAAAUAUUGAAGAAUCGAAGACUAUUUGAGACUUUGACUAUCUACAACUAACAUUUUCGAUGGUAUGCAAUGGAGCCUUGAGGGCUCAUAAUUUGCUCAGGUAUUUUUACCACGCAUCCUGAGAUUGGUAAAAAAAACUUUUGGAUAAUAACAGUUAAAAUUUAUGAAGGCAGAAAGUAGAAAUAUUUAAAUUUAAUGUUCAACAAUUUACGAAAUGAU
Drosophila obscura is the source of this 923-nucleotide long non-coding RNA. RefSeq lists it as uncharacterized. Lineage: Eukaryota; Metazoa; Arthropoda; Insecta; Diptera; Drosophilidae. The transcript is spliced from 3 exons. The record is from RefSeq and is a predicted model, not a curated record.